AAGGCUUUAUCUUAAUAAAAGAGGCUGGGUUGCAUCCAGAGGAUGUGGGUUAGUGUCCCGCAAGUCUUG
Molecule: transfer RNA, 69 nt
Filed under: Craugastor gollmeri (evergreen robber frog)
Lineage: Eukaryota; Metazoa; Chordata; Amphibia; Anura; Craugastoridae
Description: tRNA-Ala
Rfam family: tRNA
About the family: Transfer RNA (tRNA) molecules are approximately 80 nucleotides in length. Their secondary structure includes four short double-helical elements and three loops (D, anti-codon, and T loops). Further hydrogen bonds mediate the characteristic L-shaped molecular structure. tRNAs have two regions of fundamental functional importance: the anti-codon, which is responsible for specific mRNA codon recognition, and the 3' end, to which the tRNAs corresponding amino acid is attached (by aminoacyl-tRNA synthetases). tRNAs cope with the degeneracy of the genetic code in two manners: having more than one tRNA (with a specific anti-codon) for a particular amino acid; and 'wobble' base-pairing, i.e. permitting non-standard base-pairing at the 3rd anti-codon position.
Source: RNAcentral